Molecule: ribosomal RNA, 162 nt
Filed under: uncultured bacterium
Lineage: Bacteria
Description: partial 16S ribosomal RNA
Rfam family: Bacterial small subunit ribosomal RNA
Source: RNAcentral
UCGAGCAAACGGGUGCGGAACACGUACGCAACCUUCCCAAAACUGGUGAAUAGCCCUCCGAAAGGAGGAUUAAUACACCGUAACAUAAUGAAGUGGCAUCACUUUAUUAUUAUAGCUCCGGCGGUUUUGGAUGGGCGUGCGCCUGAUUAGGUAGUUGGGGGA